RNAcentral lists this ribosomal RNA (223 nucleotides) under uncultured bacterium. RNAcentral's name for it is "partial 16S ribosomal RNA". It matches the Rfam family "Bacterial small subunit ribosomal RNA", at positions 524 to 745 of the family's 1533-position model. The record is from RNAcentral.
UACGAAGGGGGCUAGCGUUGCUCGGAAUCACUGGGCGUAAAGGGCGCGUAGGCGGACUUUUAAGUCGGGGGUGAAAGCCCAGGGCUCAACCCUGGAAUUGCCUUCGAUACUGAGAGUCUUGAGUUCGGAAGAGGUUGGUGGAACUGCGAGUGUAGAGGUGAAAAUUCGUAGAUAUUCGCAAGAACACCAGUGGCGAAGGCGGCCAACUGGUCCGAUACUGACG